Molecule: small nuclear RNA, 104 nt
Organism: Phodopus roborovskii (desert hamster)
Lineage: Eukaryota; Metazoa; Chordata; Mammalia; Rodentia; Cricetidae
Source: RefSeq, a predicted model, not a curated record
AUGCUCACUUCAGCAGCACAUAUACUAAAACAAAUUGGAACAAUACAGAGAUGAUUAGCAUGGCCCCUGCACAAAGAUGACACCCAAAUUUGUGGUAUUUUUUU